This 302-nucleotide long non-coding RNA is filed under the name Marmota monax (woodchuck). The record is from RNAcentral. Lineage: Eukaryota; Metazoa; Chordata; Mammalia; Rodentia; Sciuridae.
AUCACUCAAAUGGCCCUCCAGCCUAUUACUUCUCAAUCGGACUUUUAUCAUGGACCACUCGAUAGACCCGAUUUUUAAAGGGGGACUCCAAACUGCUUGCCCCACACCAUCCCUUUUCAGCCUGAAGAAGCCAGAAAGAUCUUCUUCACCCCCCUUCCUUACAGCAGUAAGGAGUUCCCAAAUUAGAGGGGGGAAUGAAGCCAGAUUUGAAGUUAGGUAGUCAGUGUAGUUAGGUAAAUCGGGUCUAAUGCCGAGUGAAAUCUAAAAUGGAGGCCAUGCUGAAAAUGAUUCCAGGAAACGCA